This 1548-nucleotide long non-coding RNA is filed under the name Mus musculus (house mouse). Its description in RNAcentral is "predicted gene, 34121, transcript variant 2 (Gm34121)". Lineage: Eukaryota; Metazoa; Chordata; Mammalia; Rodentia; Muridae. The record is from RNAcentral.
ACGACUCAGCUUCCUUCUUGAGACUCACCCGCUCAGCGAGAGCCAACCGCAGACGCCGGGAGGUGGGACUUGUGCGCACGCACGCUGGCUUGCCCAGUCCCAACCCUUCCCAGACUGUGUUUGCUUCCAGGGACCCGAAGUUGGUAAGGUAUUUGCAGCGGGACGAGGUUCUCGAGGCUCCCUGUGCUUUAACGACAGCGUCCUUUUGGCCUUUGAGUCAGUGGACAGAAGAGGAAAUUUAAGAAAAAGUAAUUGAUCCGGGCCUGGUAGUACUCGCCUUUAACCCUGGCACCAGGAAGGCAGAAGCAGCUCCUAGACACAAGCUGCUGCUAGGAAAGGAAUCCAUCCAUUAAGAGCAAAAGUAACGAAAGGUGAGCACUGGGCCUAUAGGUGGCGCUGUUGCUCCGGAGCACAUGAAGAAACUGAGUAGGAGAAGCAGAUGGAGACCAUUGCAGAAAACCACAGCCUAUCAAAGUGCAGAGUUGUGCAACACAGUCCCAAUGGAUACAUCUACAAAACAACUCCUGCAUCCAGUGCUCAGAGAACAUUGUGGAGGAAGCGGGAGAAAGACUGUAAGAAUCAGAGGAUCACGGAGUUUGCUUUGAGAUGCUGUUCAGUAGGAAUGAUAGAAGCGACACCUGUAACUUCUCACCAACGUGGCUGCCUAAACAUAAGCUGAACCAGAGCAAUAGCAACAGACAUGCCAACGUGGGUGAGGGAAAACCCAUGAAGCCUCAACUAUACAUAAAGAACUACAGGCAACUCAGGAUCCUGACAGUCUUCCCUAGGGGAAAACACACCAAUUAGUUAUCCAGUACCAAAUGAUCAACCCUGAAUAUAUGCAUAUGAGUGACAUGAUAUAGAUUGAUCAGAUUAUAUUUAGGAGUAUAUAUGUAUAUACAUAUAUGAAUGGAAUAACAAUUAAUUAAAAAGCCAUAAAUUUGAAAGAGAGCAAAGACAGGGUAUCUGGGAGGGUUUGGAAAAAGGAAAGAAAAGAGGGAAAUGAUGUAAUUAUAAUCUAAAAAACCAAAGUAAUUUUAAAGGCAUGCAUCUGUAUUCAGCCCCUUUGAAUGAUUAUGACUGUCCUAUGAGCCUAGAACUCACAUGCAUUUUCCUGACUUCUAUCAUUAGAAUAAGUUCAUCAAGAUCAUGAAAAAACACCGGGUGUAGUGGUGCACGCCUUUAAUCCCAGCACUCGGGAGGAAGAGGCAGGCAGAUUUCGGAGUUUGAGGCCAAUCUGGUCUACAAAGUGAGUUCCAGGACAGCCAGGGCUACACAGAGAAACACUGUCUCGAAAAAAAACAAAACAAAAACAAACAAACAAAUAAAAAAGAUCAUGAAAAAGUAUGCUUUUUAAAAAGAUUGUAUUAAAUAUAUAAGUUGACUUUUAGAAGAAUCAACAUGUUAACUUGUCAUUUUUUUUUAAUCAUAAUGAAAAGAAAUAGCUUCUUGUCAGUCUAUUUAAAGCCUGCUUUGGAACUGUUGGUAAUUUUCAUUAAAUGUACUUUACAUAAUAAAAAUUUCAUUUUCUUGAUUUAAAACUAAAAA